GGAGCCGGGAGGGGACGCGCUGGGCUGCGGCUACCUGAGCCUGCGGCGGCGGGAAGCACCGCGGAGGGGGCGCCUAGGCCAGGAAUGUGACAAGAAUUUAGUGUCUUCCCUUCCAGACCUCCAGCUGAGUGUGAGGAGACAGAUUUCAUGGGCUAACAAGCACUAGUACAUCCACUGGCUGUAUCUCGAGCGUCACCAUGUGUAAGAGGGGCUUCUGAAAUCUCCACAAAGGUCUUCACAUUAAUAUUCAUCAUGAAAAGGAAAAUCUGGAUGAUCAGC
Dipodomys spectabilis (banner-tailed kangaroo rat) is the source of this 279-nucleotide long non-coding RNA. RefSeq lists it as uncharacterized. The transcript has 2 exons. Lineage: Eukaryota; Metazoa; Chordata; Mammalia; Rodentia; Heteromyidae. The record is from RefSeq and is a predicted model, not a curated record.